CCUACGGGAGGCAGCAGUGAGGAAUAUUGGUCAAUGGGCGGGAGCCUGAACCAGCCAAGCCGCGUGAGGGAAGAAGGUACAGCGUAUCGUAAACCUCUUUUGUCAGGGAACAAAGGCGGGGACUAGUCCCCGGAUGAGGGUACCUGAAGAAAAAGCAUCGGCUAACUCCGUGCCAGCAGCCGCGGUAAUACGGAGGAUGCGGGCGUUAUCCGGAUUUAUUGGGGUUAAAGGGUGCGCAGGCGGCCUGUUCAUUCAGCGGGAAAAGCCCGGGGCUCAACCCCGGCGAGCCGUUGAAACUGGCGGGCUGGAGUUGGAGAGAAGUACGCGGAAUGCGCGGUGUAGCGGUGAAAUGCUUAGAUAUCGCGCAGAACCCCGAUUGCGAAGGCAGCGUACCGGCUCCACACUGACGCUGAGGCACGAAAGCGUGGGUAUCGAACAGGAUUAGAUACCCCAGUAGUC
This 459-nucleotide ribosomal RNA is filed under the name uncultured bacterium. RNAcentral's name for it is "partial 16S ribosomal RNA". It matches the Rfam family "Bacterial small subunit ribosomal RNA", at positions 338 to 795 of the family's 1533-position model. The record is from RNAcentral.